AGAGUUGAUCAUGGCUCAGGACGACGCUGGCGGCGUGCCUAACACAUGCAAGUCGAACGGCAAAAAGCUCGGUUUUUUGUUAGUGGCGGACGGGCGAGUAACGCGUGAGUAACCUGCCCUUCGGUGGGGAAUAACGGCUGGAAACGGUCGCUAAUACCGCAUAAUAUAUCCGGACGGCAUCGUCUGGAUAUCAAAGGAGCAAUUCGCUGAAGGAUGGACUCGCGUCCGAUUAGCUAGUUGGUGAGGUAACGGCUCACCAAGGCGACGAUCGGUAGCCGAACUGAGAGGUUGAUCGGCCGCAUUGGGACUGAGACACGGCCCAGACUCCUACGGGAGGCAGCAGUGGGGGAUAUUGCACAAUGGAGGAAAAACCUCUGAUGCAGCAACGCCGCGUGAGGGAAGAAGGUCUUCGGAUUGUAAACCUUAGUAGUCAGGGACGAAGAAAUGACGGUACCUGAAAAGUAAGCUCCGGCUAACUACGUGCCAGCCGCCGC
Molecule: ribosomal RNA, 494 nt
Filed under: uncultured bacterium
Lineage: Bacteria
Description: bacterial SSU rRNA
Rfam family: Bacterial small subunit ribosomal RNA
Source: RNAcentral